Molecule: long non-coding RNA, 255 nt
Filed under: Apteryx owenii (little spotted kiwi)
Lineage: Eukaryota; Metazoa; Chordata; Aves; Apterygiformes; Apterygidae
Description: lncRNA (ENSAOWG00000018958.1)
Source: RNAcentral
UCUCAAAAAAAAAAAAAAAAAGCAGCUUCUGUUCUUCAUAAACUAAAUCCAACAUUUCCAUCUGGCUGAGAUGUCAUGAAAUGGCAGGUUCAUUAGGUUACAUUCAGCAAAGCAGGCUGACCCAUAUUGCAGAAUCCUAAAGCAGGUCCUUGAAUCAGUUACAUUUUCAGUGCCUUAAAGCCAGGCGAGUGAAGAGUUAACAGGACUGAAGUUUGUCAAUUGAUAUGCAGAAGAACUGAUAGCACAAGAGCUGAC